RNAcentral lists this transfer RNA (77 nucleotides) under Planctomycetota bacterium. RNAcentral's name for it is "Planctomycetes bacterium tRNA-Arg". It matches the Rfam family "tRNA". Rfam says of the family: Transfer RNA (tRNA) molecules are approximately 80 nucleotides in length. Their secondary structure includes four short double-helical elements and three loops (D, anti-codon, and T loops). Further hydrogen bonds mediate the characteristic L-shaped molecular structure. tRNAs have two regions of fundamental functional importance: the anti-codon, which is responsible for specific mRNA codon recognition, and the 3' end, to which the tRNAs corresponding amino acid is attached (by aminoacyl-tRNA synthetases). tRNAs cope with the degeneracy of the genetic code in two manners: having more than one tRNA (with a specific anti-codon) for a particular amino acid; and 'wobble' base-pairing, i.e. permitting non-standard base-pairing at the 3rd anti-codon position. Lineage: Bacteria; Pseudomonadati; Planctomycetota. The record is from RNAcentral.
GCACCUGUAGCUCAAUUGGAUAGAGCAUCAGACUACGGAUCUGAGGGUUUGAGGUUCGACUCCUCACAGGUGCACCA